This 864-nucleotide ribosomal RNA is filed under the name Anaplasma phagocytophilum. RNAcentral's name for it is "bacterial SSU rRNA". It matches the Rfam family "Bacterial small subunit ribosomal RNA", at positions 108 to 1004 of the family's 1533-position model. Lineage: Bacteria; Pseudomonadati; Pseudomonadota; Alphaproteobacteria; Rickettsiales; Anaplasmataceae. The record is from RNAcentral.
GAGUAAUAGCAUAGGAAUCUACCUAGUAGUAUGGGAUAGCCACUAGAAAUGGUGGGUAAUACUGUAUAAUCCCUGCGGGGGAAAGAUUUAUCGCUAUUAGAUGAGCCUAUGUUAGAUUAGCUAGUUGGUAGGGUAAAGGCCUACCAAGGCGAUGAUCUAUAGCUGGUCUGAGAGGAUGAUCAGCCACACUGGAACUGAGAUACGGUCCAGACUCCUACGGGAGGCAGCAGUGGGGAAUAUUGGACAAUGGGCGCAAGCCUGAUCCAGCUAUGCCGCGUGAGUGAGGAAGGCCUUAGGGUUGUAAAACUCUUUCAGUAGGGAAGAUAAUGACGGUACCUACAGAAGAAGUCCCGGCAAACUCCGUGCCAGCAGCCGCGGUAAUACGGAGGGGGCAAGCGUUGUUCGGAAUUAUUGGGCGUAAAGGGCAUGUAGGCGGUUCGGUAAGUUAAAGGUGAAAUGCCAGGGCUUAACCCUGGAGCUGCUUUUAAUACUGCCAGACUAGAGUCCGGGAGAGGAUAGCGGAAUUCCUAGUGUAGAGGUGAAAUUCGUAGAUAUUAGGAGGAACACCAGUGGCGAAGGCGGCUAUCUGGUCCGGUACUGACGCUGAGGUGCGAAAGCGUGGGGGAGCAAACAGGAUUAGAUACCCUGGUAGUCCACGCUGUAAACGAUGAGUGCUGAUGGGUGGGGGAUUUUUUUAUCUCUUGUGUUGUAGCUAACGCGUUAAGCACUCCGCCUGGGGGACUACGGUCGCAAGACUAAAACUCAAGGAAUUGACGGGGACCCGCACAAGCGGUGGAGCAUGUGGUUUAAUUCGAUGCAACGCGAAAACCUUACCACUCCGUGACAUGGGAGAUUAGUCGUAAA